Molecule: unclassified non-coding RNA, 741 nt
Filed under: Hevea brasiliensis (rubber tree)
Lineage: Eukaryota; Viridiplantae; Streptophyta; Magnoliopsida; Malpighiales; Euphorbiaceae
Source: RNAcentral
CGUAAAUCUUAAAAGGCAAACUGGCGCAUAAUAGCUUUCACAAAUGAACCUCAGGACCUAAUAUCGAUUUACGUAAAAGGCAUGAAAUUAAAACAACCCUUACCCAAAGAAAUGGUGCAGUUUGAACUAUAAAUAUUGUCCAUACUGUUCCAAUUUUUGAAAAAACUGUGUUUAUUUCAAUGUGAUUAGACCUUAAUUAAAAGUGGCAAAUAACAAAACCCUUCCUAAUUAUUCCCCAUUAUCACACAACAACAAAACAGAUAAUACAUGAGCUUAAGGUCAGAAGGAUUUGAAGCAAGGCACAAACAUAACUUAUAAAGAAUUUUGAAACUAAACAAAUAACCUCUUUUUCUGUCACUUGGAAAUGCCAUCAGUUUUCUUGAUGCUUAGGGUCUGUCAGAAAUGUAGCCCCCUCUGCUAAAGCUUGAGGCAGCUCAGCUCGAUCUAAUACAAAAAGAAUGUACAUAGCAAGCUAUCCACAGGAGACAUUUUGGAUGCAAAGGCUCAUUUUAGCAUCUAAAGUCUGUCUGUCAAACAUCUGCGGAUAGACACUGCAAAUUUGUUAACCUGGUUAGGGUGGAGGAGGAUGGCACAGACUCCCAAACAAACAGCAAAUGUGGCGAUUAAAAAUACUGCAGGGCGAAACUUCAUGACUCUGUUAGAAAAAACGAGACUACAUGACCUCUUUGGCCUUUCCUUGCCAAGGUUCACAUUCACAACAACCUCUUUACUCAAAAGUGG